GAUGAAGAACGUAGCGAAAUGCGAUAAGUAAUGUGAAUUGCAGAAUUCAGUGAAUCAUCGAAUCUUUGAACGCACCUUGCACCCUUUGGUAUUCCGAAGGGUAUGCUCGUUUGAGUGUCAUUGUACUCUCACACUUCUAAUUCCUUUCGGGAUUGGGAGCGGUGGACUUGGGUGUUGCUGCUUUAGUUGUGGCUCACCUCAAAUAAGUUAGUGCAACUCUUGGUUGGACAUAGUACGGCGUGAUAAGUGUCUUCGCCGGCGCCUCUGUAAGGAGGGUGGCCGAUCGGGAGCUCUCUGCUUCAAACCGUCUUCGGACAAUCUUUGACAACUUGACCUCAAAUCGAGUAGGACUACCCGCUGAACUUAAGCAUAUCAAUAAGCGGAGGA
This 387-nucleotide unclassified non-coding RNA is filed under the name soil metagenome. RNAcentral's name for it is "partial contains 5.8S ribosomal RNA, internal transcribed spacer 2, and large subunit ribosomal RNA". The stretch from base 1 to 120 matches the Rfam family "5.8S ribosomal RNA", at positions 35 to 154 of the family's 154-position model. The record is from RNAcentral.